AGCUCCAAUAGCGUAUAUUAAAGUUGUUGCAGUUAAAAAGCUCGUAGUUGGACCUAUGACGAGACGGAACGGUCUGCCGCAAGGCAGUACUGCUCAGUUGAGUCACUAUACCAGGGAACUGCUCAAAAGGCAGGGAACUGGGGAUUACUUUGAAGAAAUUAGAGUGUUUAAGGCAGGCUUAUGCUUGAAUACAUUAGCAUGGAAUAAUAAGAUAGGACUAUGGUCUUAUUUUGUUGGUUUGAGGGCUGUAGUAAUGAUUAAUAGGGAUAGUUGGGGGCAUUUGUAUUCAGUAGUCAGAGGUGAAAUUCUUGGAUUUACUGAAGACAAACUAAUGCGAAAGCAUUUGCCAAGGAUGUUUUCA
RNAcentral lists this ribosomal RNA (361 nucleotides) under uncultured eukaryote. RNAcentral describes it as "SSU rRNA". It matches the Rfam family "Eukaryotic small subunit ribosomal RNA", at positions 587 to 972 of the family's 1831-position model. The record is from RNAcentral.